GCUUUUGAAAGAUUACAGACAUCUAUUGGUCUUAGGAACCAAAAACUCUUGGUGCAAUUCCAAGCAAAAGCU
This 72-nucleotide transfer RNA is filed under the name Rhynchobatus laevis (smoothnose wedgefish). Its description in RNAcentral is "tRNA-Leu". It matches the Rfam family "tRNA". Rfam says of the family: Transfer RNA (tRNA) molecules are approximately 80 nucleotides in length. Their secondary structure includes four short double-helical elements and three loops (D, anti-codon, and T loops). Lineage: Eukaryota; Metazoa; Chordata; Chondrichthyes; Rhinopristiformes; Rhynchobatidae. The record is from RNAcentral.